CUGCUUUUAUAUGUGACGAAUAUGACGGUAGCAUAUGAAUAAGGAUCGGCUAAUUCCGUGCCAGCAGCCGCGGUCAUACGGAAGAUCCAAGCGUUAUCCGGAAUUACUGGGCGUAAAGAGUUGCGUAGGUGGCAUAGUAAGCGGGUAGUGAAAGCGUGUGGCUCAACCAUACUCACAUUAUCUGAACUGCUAAGCUAGAGGACGAGAGAGGUUAUUGGAAUUCCCAGUGUAGGAGUGAAAUCCGUAGAUAUUGGGAGGAACACCGAUGGCGUAGGCAGAUAACUGGCUCGUUCCUGACACUAAGGCACGAAAGCGUGGGUAGCAAACGGGAUUAGAUACCCCGGUAGUCCACGCCGUAAACGAUGGAUGCUAGCUGUAUUCGGUAUCGACCCCGGAUGUAGCGAAGCUAACGCGUUAAGCAUCCCGCCUGUGGAGUACGGUCGCAAGACUAAAACAUAAAGGAAUUGACGGGGACCCGCACAAGCGGUGGAGCGUGUUGUUUAAUUCGAUGGUAAGCGAAGAACCUUACCCAGGCUUGACAUCCUGCGAAUUUCUCCGAAAGGAGAGAGUGCUUUAUUGAACGCAGUGACAGGUGAUGCAUGGCCGUCGUCAGCUCGUGU
This 620-nucleotide ribosomal RNA is filed under the name uncultured soil bacterium. Its description in RNAcentral is "bacterial SSU rRNA". It matches the Rfam family "Bacterial small subunit ribosomal RNA", at positions 430 to 1065 of the family's 1533-position model. The record is from RNAcentral.